This 240-nucleotide long non-coding RNA is filed under the name Elaeis guineensis (African oil palm). RNAcentral describes it as "long non-coding RNA (EGUI_LNC002019)". Lineage: Eukaryota; Viridiplantae; Streptophyta; Magnoliopsida; Arecales; Arecaceae. The record is from RNAcentral.
UCCCUUGUUUUAUGUUCAAAAGUUGAACAUCUCUCCUCUUUCUCUCCUUGUCCAAAGAGUUGGACAUGUCUCCAUCAUCUUCUUCUCCAUACAUGUUCAAGAGUUGAACAUGAUUAAAAUCAGAUUUGAUCUGAUUUAUUUUAGUCCAUGAGAUAGACGGUUCUCCUUUAUACAUAUUCAAGAGUUGAACAUGAUUAAAAUCAGAUUUGAUCUGAUUUUUGCCUCUUCCUAUUGGUCUAU